CCUACGGGUGGCAGCAGUGGGGAAUAUUGCACAAUGGGGGAAAGCCUGAUGCAGCGACGCCGCGUGAAGGAAGAAGUAUUUCGGUAUGUAAACUUCUAUCAGAAGGGAGGAAAAUGACGGUAACUGACUAAGAAGCAUCGGCUAACUACGUGCCAGCAGCCGCGGUAAUACGUAGGGGGCAAGCGUUAUCCGGAUUUACUGGGUGUAAAGGGAGCGUAGGCGGGUUUGCAAAGUAGCAGGUAAAGCCCGGGGCUCAACGCCGGGACUGUUUUUGAAAAGGUUUAACUAGAUGGCAGGAGAGGUAAGUGGAAUUCCUAGGGUAGCGGUGAAAUGCGUAGAUAUUAGGAGGAACACCAGUGGCGAAGGCGGCUUACUGGACUGUAAAUGACGCUGAGGCUCGAAAGCGUGGGGAGCAAACAGGAUUAGAUACCCCGGUAGUC
RNAcentral lists this ribosomal RNA (440 nucleotides) under uncultured bacterium. RNAcentral describes it as "partial 16S ribosomal RNA". It matches the Rfam family "Bacterial small subunit ribosomal RNA", at positions 338 to 795 of the family's 1533-position model. The record is from RNAcentral.